AGCAGCCGCGGUAAUUCCAGCUCCAAUAGCGUAUAUUAAAGUUGUUGCAGUUAAAAAGCUCGUAGUUGAAUUUCGGGGUCAGCAGGUCGGUCGUGCCAAUGGUAUGCACUGGCCUUGCUGAUUCCUCCCUCUUGAUGAGCCGUAAUGCCAUUAAUUUGGUGUUGCGGGGAAUCAGGACUGUUACUUUGAAAAAAUUAGAGUGUUUAAAGCAGGCAAGCGCUUGAAUACAUUAGCAUGGAAUAAUGAAAUAGGACGUUUGAUCCUAUUUUGUUGGUUUCUAGGAUUGACGUAAUGAUUAAUAGGGAUAGUUGGGGGCAUUAGUAUUCAAUUGUCAGAGGUGAAAUUCUUGGAUUUAUUGAAGACUAACUACUGCGAAAGCAUUUGCCAAGGAUGUUUUCAUUAAUCAAGAACGAAAGUUAGGGGAUCGAAGACGAUCAGAUACCGUCGUAGUCUUAACCAUAAACUAUGCCGACUAGGGAUCGGAUGAUGUUAAUUUUUAAUGACUCAUUC
This 510-nucleotide ribosomal RNA is filed under the name uncultured Glomus. RNAcentral's name for it is "SSU rRNA". It matches the Rfam family "Eukaryotic small subunit ribosomal RNA", at positions 569 to 1081 of the family's 1831-position model. The record is from RNAcentral. Lineage: Eukaryota; Fungi; Glomeromycota; Glomeromycetes; Glomerales; Glomeraceae.